Molecule: long non-coding RNA, 1162 nt
Filed under: Triticum aestivum (bread wheat)
Lineage: Eukaryota; Viridiplantae; Streptophyta; Magnoliopsida; Poales; Poaceae
Description: long non-coding RNA (TAES_LNC004002)
Source: RNAcentral
CUGCUUAGAAGAUGGAGCAGAUGAGGAUUAAGGGGUGGAGCUCAGCACCUAAAAGUUACCUGCAUGUGCUCUCGUCUACUUUUGGUCUGAAGAGUGGUAGGUUGCUUCCAAAUCAGUGGUAGGGUCACUAAAGAUAUGGUAAAAAGGUGGCACGUUCAUUCCAAAUGGAGGGAGAGCGUGUGUUGUGACUGCAUUUUCUGGUGAGUGAAAGGGUCGAUUUUAGCUACAGACCACAGUGCUGUCUCUAUUCGCCUACAUCAGGACCCACGCCCAUGGCAUUUCCUCUCUCUCUCACUCAUAAGCAACAGUGCCUUUCUCCAACUUUUGUAGGAGCAAGUAAUUUUUUUUUCUUUGAUUCUGUUCAACACUACUCCCUCCGUCCCAUAUUAUGGGACGGAAGGAGUAAUAUAUACGUGGACCUGACUAUUUUUUUUUACUUUUGAAAUCACAGGAAGCAGACACACACCGUUGCAAAUACAAUCAAUGGCGCUGGUGGUGGCCUGAGGAACCAGUUACUGUGAAUCUGUGAUGAUUGAUUGAUUAUGUCGGAGGGAUGGUUAAAAUAAAGAGAUGCGACGAAAACCGAAAGGUGGAGGGAUGGGGAUGGUGGUCCAGAAGAUGUUCCCACCUGCAGCACGCAGCCAACUCUUUUCUGCCCACUAUUGCCUCAGGUAUUUGCAUUUAUAAGAGAUAUAUGAAUACAUAGGAUAGGAACACGUGUCAGGCUUAACAACACUCAUCAGAAUUAUCAAACCACCCUCUAAACUUGGAAUUAGGGAGUGAUAAACAAAAGAUGUGAUGAUGUCCUGUCCUACUCCUUCCAACACCUUUAGGCUCAUCAGUUAAUUCCAUCUUUUACUCCAUAAUUUCACAUUGAUUACCCAUUGAGAAGAGUAUAUGCAACCUAUUAAAUUUAUUAGAGCAUCUACAGCCGGAAGAGGAUUUGUAGCGCCGGGGUGCUCUGGCCCCUAUAUGAACAUUAAGUUCAAAAAAAUACCAAGAAAAAUGAAGAAUAAAACCUGGUAUUUAGGGAUAUCAAACUUGGAUUGCUAAAUUUCAGUCGACUAUGACUUAACGAAGUCCUUAUAUUAUAUUCAUAAGAUCUUACGUGGACAUCUGUGUAAAGUUUUGCUUUGUUUUUCCUUUUUCUUUUUUAUAUGUU